Molecule: ribosomal RNA, 253 nt
Filed under: uncultured bacterium
Lineage: Bacteria
Description: partial 16S ribosomal RNA
Rfam family: Bacterial small subunit ribosomal RNA
Source: RNAcentral
UACGUAGGGGGCAAGCGUUAUCCGGAUUUACUGGGUGUAAAGGGAGCGUAGACGGCAUGGCAAGUCAGAUGUGAAAGCCCGGGGCUCAACCCCGGGACUGCAUUUGAAACUGUCAGGCUGGAGUGCAGGAGAGGUAAGCGGAAUUCCUAGUGUAGCGGUGAAAUGCGUAGAUAUUAGGAGGAACACCAGUGGCGAAGGCGGCUUACUGGACUGUAACUGACGCUGAGGCUCGAAAGCGUGGGGAGCAAACAGG